GACGAACGCUGGCGGCGUGCCUAACACAUGCAAGUCGAGCGGAGGUAGACAAGGAGUAAUCUGAGUUUACCUUAGCGGCGGACGGGUGAGUAACGCGUGAGCAACCUGCCUUUCACAGGGGGAUAAGGCGGCGAAAGCCGCUCUAAUACCGCAUGAGACCACGGUGAUUAUAUUACAGGGGUCAAAGGAGCAAUCCGGUGAAAGAUGGGCUCGCGGCCGAUUAGGUAGUUGGUGGAGUAGAGGCUCACCAAGCCAAUGAUCGGUAGCCGGCCUGAGAGGGUGAACGGCCACAUUGGAACUGAGAGACGGUCCAAACUCCUACGGGAGGCAGCAGUGGGGAAUAUUGGGCAAUGGGCGAAAGCCUGACCCAGCAACGCCGCGUGAAGGAAGAAGGUUUUCGGAUUGUAAACUUCUGUUCUUGGGGAAGAGAAGAAGACGGUACCCAAGGAGGAAGCCCCGGCUAACUACGUGCCAGCCGCCGCUGUAA
Molecule: ribosomal RNA, 487 nt
Filed under: uncultured bacterium
Lineage: Bacteria
Description: partial 16S ribosomal RNA
Rfam family: Bacterial small subunit ribosomal RNA
Source: RNAcentral